This is a long non-coding RNA of Poecile atricapillus (Black-capped chickadee), 1250 nucleotides long. RefSeq lists it as uncharacterized. The record is from RefSeq and is a predicted model, not a curated record. Lineage: Eukaryota; Metazoa; Chordata; Aves; Passeriformes; Paridae. The transcript has 3 exons.
GAGACACACAGAGACAGAGAGCUUGAAAAAUGCUUCCAAUGCAGGCAGCUUGUUUAAGCACAGAGCGUGUUGCAGCCAGCUGGAUCUUUGGAGAAAAAGAUGAAUUUCUACUCAUUUAAGCACGAAUAAGAAGCCCAGGAAGUUGUGGCUGACAGAAAAACACCUUGUCUUCUGCUAACUAGGACACUCAUGAUCAUCCUGCAACCUUGUGAGCCCUGCUUUUAAAUAGUGAAAGAGACAUGCUGUGACCAUACUGUGAUGCAGAUCCUGUGAGAGUGACUGUAAUAAAUAAACCCAGUGAACAAUUAUCUCCCAAACACAGCUUCACUGACACAAAUCAGUGGAGUAUAGUUCUUCACUUAUGUUUAAGAGCUGGUGGUCGCAUACCAAAUGUGGAGUGUAACCAACGGGGAGUACAAGCAAUGCAUUUGUGAUCAGAAAUGGAGGAGCAGGAGCAAAAAACCUACGAAACAGCUUCAUAGUAAUAAUUUGGAGGGCAAAAAAAGUUUUGUGGUGUGACUGCACUGAUAAAAGUAAUCUUUUUGAUUGUCUGUAUUUUUCCCCAAGUUUUCUGGUAGAUAGCUAGAUAGCUAAAUAGAUAGAGUGGGCUUUUUUUAAAACGAGUUUUUUGUCUUUUGAUGCUGGCACUUGGAAUUAAAAUGCAUUUUGUCCUUCGGCAAGGGAACUUUAUUGUCUUUUUUCCUUCUGUCUCCAAAUCUUUUCUUUUUGACUGGAAAGCAUUUACUUCUCUGUACAUUUUCAUUUGACUCCUCGUGCGGCAAAACGUCUCUAUAUACCAGCUGAGAAGGCAUUACUCUAUUAUUGAUGAAAAGUAGUAUGUUCCCUGGAAACUGGAAGAAAGUUCCAAGGGUAGAAUGCCGCAGAAACAAAGGGAUCCCACCAUCACUGACUUGCCCUCUCUACAGUGUUAUGUAACUCUGUGACUGUUUAAAUCUAGAUGCUUCAGACCUGGAACAAUAAUGAAAUGGAUCCCAACUAACAGCAGGUUUUAUAGUGCAGGUGUGGAUGUUUGAGACAUUGUCCAAGUGGUGGCCAGAUGCCCUGACAGGAACUGAGAUCUCAUCAAUGCAGUCCGUAUUAUUCAGGAUAAAAUUCUUGUGACUGAAUGAUGGGGAGUUACUUUGAGCUGAAAUAAACCUUGAUCAAACUCCACUGACCAUAUUGCCUAACUCCCUGUUGACUACAGAGGCAGCCAAGAGAGAUUUACUCUGGUACAGCUGUACACCCUG